GACGAACGCUGGCGGCGUGCCUAAUACAUGCAAGUAGAACGCUAAAGGAGGAGCUUGCUUCGCUGCAUGAGUGGCGAACGGGUGAGUAACGCGUAGGUAACCUGCCUGGGAGCGGGGGAUAACUAUUGGAAACGAUAGCUAAUACCGCAUAAGAGUAGAUGUUGCAUGACAUUGGCUGGAAAGGUGCAAUUGCAUCACUACCAGAUGGACCUGCGUUGUAUUAGCUAGUUGGUGGGGUAACGGCUCACCAAGGCGAGGAUACAUAGCCGACGUGAGAGGGGGAUCGGCCACACUGGAGGUUAACCACCGCCCAGACUCCUACGGGAGGCACCAGUCGCCAAUCUUCGGCAAUGGACGGAAGUAUUACCGAGUAACGCCGAGUGAGAGACGACGGUGCUCGGUUCGUAAAGAUGUGUUGUAAGAGAAGAACGAGUGUGAGAGUGGAAAGUUCACACUGUGAGGGUAUCUUAAAAGAAAGGCCCGGCUACCUACGU
RNAcentral lists this ribosomal RNA (494 nucleotides) under uncultured bacterium. RNAcentral's name for it is "partial 16S ribosomal RNA". It matches the Rfam family "Bacterial small subunit ribosomal RNA", at positions 28 to 506 of the family's 1533-position model. The record is from RNAcentral.